AACUAAAUAAAUCUUCAAUAGUUGAUGCAAAGAAAAAUUCAACCCAUCCAUUCAAAAGUCCUCCCUGCAUGACUGUCACAAGCUAAGAUUUUGACCAACAACCUGAAGCAAAAUUAAACAAAAUGUUUCAUCAAAUAUAAAGUGCAAAUGCAUUCACAGAAAUCAGAAUCAUAGGUCCAUUUUUGUAAGUACCUUUAGCAACUUGCUUGUGAAAUUAUUAGAAUUGAAAAUGUCAACAACAAAUAAAAAACAUAAAAUAUGAUUUACACUUGAUUCUCUUCUACAGAGACUUCACCAUUCAUUAUUUAUUUAUAAUAGAAGGAACUUUAAUUGCUUAAAAAAUAGAAAAUAUGUAGUAAACUGAUAAGUAACUGUUGAGUUGUAGGAUGUAAGGAGAAACAACUUCUUCCCCUAUUUAUAACGCUUGUAUUUUAAGAAGUCGUCAAACUCUUGAAAUAUCUUCAAGGAAUCUUCCUACUUUAUGGUGUCUUACAUUUUGAUCAUACUGAAAUUAAUAUCCUUAUUUUGUCAUAUUUAAUAAGUAAAUGCUUCCGUGUCUGCGGUAUGUCACUUUACCUACAUUCUUUUUUUCGGCAAUACACCACCUAGGCAUCUACAAUGAAUUUCAUUGUUGGUUAUUUUCAUUUAUCAUGAGAUCAAAUAGAGUCACUUGUCUCAACUUGUCCUUUCUGAGUUUCUGUCAGUAAUAUUAGGACUUGAAGAGACGGUCAAAAUUGAAUGAAAGAACUUCUCUUAGGAAUAAAAUGCAUUAAAAUCUCUAUUUUCCUUUUCUUAUUUAUACUACUGCUUGAACUUAGAAAACAUUAUGAAGACAUGAUAACCUAGAAGACACGAAAAUGACGCCUAAUGUAGGAGCUAAUGUUCACUGGUUCUUUGUUCUAACAGAUACUUUAACAUCUGAUGAGUUCUUAUUAAAUAGAAUGGCAACUAAUAUAUUAUAAAGAGAUGCAGCAAACAUCAUGAAAACUAAAUCAUUCUUUAGCCUAUUCCAUAACACCUUCAUAUUUAUAGAGAGCAUAAAUACAAUCAUAUAGACAAUUCCUUAUGCAAGCUAGAAACAACUUACCAUUAAACUCUUCGUAAAGCUUGUCCUGUUGGUACCCUUUGUCACGAUCAUUUUUUCAUAUUCUUCUUCAUUUUUUUUUUCUCGAACGUUGAAUCUAUUCAGUGAUAGCAAGCACAAUAUGAUUUUUUUUAAUUGUAAAAUAACUAAAUUUAACAUAAGAAACCCAUGGAAGAACUUAAAAGUAAUACAAAAUAGAGAUUUUUCUGCUCAAGUUUCAAUAAUGCAAAGAAAUUUUAACUUUUUGAAAGUUGGACUUCUUCAAACACAUUAUGCGUGUUAGGUAUGUAAACAUAAGAUAAAUGUAAAGAAUCAUACUUAUAAUACAAAACCUAGAAAGUAUAUAGUUAGAUGAUGUUAUUAUUGUGAGACUCCUAUUAUGUGCUAUCAUGUAAUGGCGACGCUCAUCUUACAAAGCAAAAUUUCUACAGUUUCCUUGAUCACAAGAUAAGGCAAAUGUAUUGGUGAGAUAAUUAAAGAAACUAAGCUCACGAAAUAUCUUGUUUCACCUAUAGGCUCUUCCAUAUAUAUUGUUGCUACAUCUCCCCCCGCCUACUCCAUGUAAACAUAGUAAGAUGACUUUAGAUGCACUUACGAAAAAUGAGUUAACAGAUUAGAAGGUGAGAUAUAUUAUAUUAUCUGAUAAUGCAGACACCAAAAUCAAGAAUGAGAGAUAAUACUAAAUGUAAGCUUCAUAUCAUGAACAUGGAGACGCCUUUCAUGUCCGAUUGAGUCUUGUUAUUCAUAUGUGAUAGGAAGCUAGCUGUAAACUUUAGGGUAGGACUUCCUAUUACCACAGAAAACCAACAGUCCAUUCAUAUGAUCUCACACAACAACUUUUGAACACCUAGCAAAAAAAAAAAUGAAUAAAAGAAUUAAUUCUUACUUUUAGUGAUUCCCCUCAAGAUGCAAUCAUAAUUUAUGUGUGAAGAAGAGAAAAUUGACUUUCACAAAAUAUCAUCAUAGAGCAUGUAAAUCACUUAUCAUUUCCGAUUGAGUUCUAUUUAUUAAUAGAAAACAUGAAGCUACUUGUGAACUUGAGGGAAGAAGUUUCUAGUAACAUAGAAUACCAACAACAUGGAAAUACACUGUUUAUCAUCCAUGACCUCUAUCACCCUGAAACUAACGAUUUGUAUCAACUUUCAAAUCAAGUAAAGAAAAUAUAGUUGUUGAUAGGUUAAGUUCAGUGACAAUUUGACAGUACUUUAAUGCUUAACUUAUUCAUAACUUUCUCAAAUAGUUUUCUUUGUAUAAUCACUGCAUCGUUACUCAUAUUCACUUAUGUACCACAUUAUCAUCUUGAUAUAGUAAUCAAAUCUUAAUAAAGCUACCAUCUGACCUUUAUAAGAUGUCCAAUAAUGUUUCGAUAGGAUAAUAUAGUGGCUAAAGACCAAAAGUAUCAGACGUUAAAGAUAACAAAUUUAAAGUUAGAAAUUCAAUCGAGUUCACGGGUUGUACACCUAUACCAUCUAAAGGUUAUGUGAUUAGCUCCAUGAGAAAGGAUGGAGUACUGAUAGUCAUAGUCUAGUAAAGAGAAGUGAUGUCUUUUCUACACUUUCAAAAUUGAAAUGCUCCUAUUACUUCUAGCUAUUACUUCAUUAGAAUAUUUAUUUGUCAGGUCUGAAGAAAUAUAUAGAACGUUGUUAUUAGUUUCUUAGAAACUUUCUAAAAAUCUAGAAAAGUUCAUAACACGAAGAAAUAAAAAAAAGAAGCAAGACAUUCUUAAAAAUUGAAAGACUUCUCCUAUUAAAGAAUGCCAUUCUAUUCCUUCAAAUGUGCAUUUUUCAAUUCGAACAAUGGGGUGCAAGCUUCAUUAACCUUUUUAUGUAGUGCAGAGUCUUCCCAUAACUAUGCGGGAAGAUAUUUGGUGGCCUUUUAGAUUUCAUGUGAAUGUGUUCCGAAUGAUCUCAUCGUACACACUAUUUUAUGUAGAAUGAUCAUCUAUAUCUUCUAUUGUAGGCGGACGUAUUAAUAAUUUGACAUUUUUUUGGAGUUGUGAUGUCAACAUUAGCUUUUGAGACAUUUGAUAUUGUUCCAUCUCUUCUACAGUUGACACAUUCUAAAAUGAACAUCUCUAUCACGCCUGCGACAACAUCAUCAACAACAAUAACACAAAGAUAAUUAGUUACAUAAAAGGCAGAAUAGUUAAAGAUCAUUCUAAAUGUGAUGUGUUUAUUCACCUCUCUUAAACUAUCAUUAGUCUUAAUAUUUGCAAAAUUUAAUUACUCAAGAAAAAAGUAAGUUGUUUUAUCGAGUUUUUAACUUACUGUAACCACAAGUGCAUCUCCAGCAACCAACACUAUAAUAUCAGCACAAGAAACAACUCCAAGACAUAGCUCCAACAAAUCUCUUAACAUCAUCGAUGAAUGAGAAGCCUCUCAAUGCCAAAUUAGGAUUGGCUUGAUUUUCAAUCCGAUUUGCAGAACUUGAAAUGAAAUUAAGAAGCACAGUCCAUCAUUACCCUGCAAAGACCAAAAUUUUAAAUAGGAAAAAGCAAAAUAGAAUCAGGAACAAAGCAAAUUCAGUAAGAAUGUAUGUGAAACAUUUGGUCACGAUACAGAGUUCAAGAAAAUAAGGAUGACUUUUAAAUCGUAUGAUCUUGAAAAUAAAUAUGUGUCUAAUACAUCAAAAUUUUAUCUAAAAUUUGUGGUCUUAAACAUGUCACGUAGAAUGUCGGAAUCUAAGAGUUGGUGAAUAAAGAAAGAGAUAUUUUUUGUUUUGAAAAGACUAAAAAAGCGAGUAAAGACACAUAAACUGAAAUUGAUGGAGUAAUACUCACAUUAACAAAGCAAUCAUGGAAAUGCAGCAUUUUGAGUAUGAUUUUUGCAGUAUUUGGAGCCUUUGGAACUUGUUGCUGAACUAAGUCUUUAAUAAUAUUAUCAGCUUUUGGCGUAGAAAUUAAGCUCAAAUCAAUUUAACCUAUUAGACAACUGAACUUUUUGGUUCAAACAUAAUAGUUAGUGAGGUCAAUAACAUGUAGUAACUGAAAUCAAAGAACAAAAGGCAAGAAUAAGACUUCUGCUACAAAAUUUCAUUUUUCUUUUCAAAACUUACAACUUGAAAGGGAAAACAAGUUGAUUUAGGCAAAUUAUCAAACACCCUUGGUACAUUACAGCGCAAACCUGGCAUAAUAUUGACAUGCAUGUAAAACUUUUCACCCCAACUUCAUCAUCAAAGAACCCAUCCACCCUAAAAUGUAUUUUCAAUAUUUUUUACACAAAUUUUAUUACCGAUUCAAGCAAUUUCCAUUUCAAACAAAGACUAUCAACUUUCAUUAUCAAUAAAAAGAGAAAAUAAAAAUACAAUGGAAAAAAAAGAAUGAAGAAACAGAUACGGAGAAAAGAAGGU
RNAcentral lists this long non-coding RNA (4432 nucleotides) under Solanum tuberosum (potato). Its description in RNAcentral is "long non-coding RNA (STUB_LNC008808)". Lineage: Eukaryota; Viridiplantae; Streptophyta; Magnoliopsida; Solanales; Solanaceae. The record is from RNAcentral.